RNAcentral lists this ribosomal RNA (485 nucleotides) under uncultured bacterium. RNAcentral describes it as "partial 16S ribosomal RNA". It matches the Rfam family "Bacterial small subunit ribosomal RNA", at positions 30 to 507 of the family's 1533-position model. The record is from RNAcentral.
UUGAACGCUGGCGGCAUGCCUUACCCCUGCCAGUCGAACGGCAGCACGGGUGCUUGCACCUGGUGGCGAGUGGCGAACGGGUGAGUAAUACAUCGGAACAUGUCCUGUAGUGGGGGAUAGCCCGGCGAAAGCCGGAUUAAUACCGCAUACGAUCUACGGAUGAAAGCGGGGGACCUUCGGGCCUCGCGCUAUAGGGUUGGCCGAUGGCUGAUUAGCUAGUUGGUGGGGUAAAGGCCUACCAAGGCGACGAUCAGUAGCUGGUCUGAGAGGACGACCAGCCACACUGGGACUGAGACACGGCCCAGACUCCUACGGGAGGCAGCAGUGGGGAAUUUUGGACAAUGGGCGAAAGCCUGAUCCAGCAAUGCCGCGUGUGUGAAGAAGGCCUUCGGGUUGUAAAGCACUUUUGUCCGGAAAGAAAUCCUUGGCCCUAAUACGGUCGGGGGAUGACGGUACCGGAAGAAUAAGCACCGGCUAACUACGUG